This 396-nucleotide ribosomal RNA is filed under the name uncultured bacterium. Its description in RNAcentral is "partial 16S ribosomal RNA". It matches the Rfam family "Bacterial small subunit ribosomal RNA", at positions 523 to 918 of the family's 1533-position model. The record is from RNAcentral.
AUACGUAGGGGACGAGCGUUGUCCGGACUUACUGGGCGUAAAGGGCGCGCAGGCGGUAUAUCAAGUCAGCUGUCAAAGACUGGGGCUCAACCCUGGUAUGCGGUUGAUACUGGAUGGCCUGAGUUCGGGAGAGGGAUGCGGAAUUCCAGGUGUAGCGGGGAAAUGCGUAGAUCUCUGGAGGAACACCGGUGGCGAAGGCGGCAUCCUGGACCGACACUGACGCUGAGGAGCGAAAGCCAGGGGAGCAAACGGGAUUAGAUACCCCGGUAGUCCUAGCCCUAAACGAUGAAUGCUUGGUGUGGCGGGUAUCGAUCCCUGCCGUGCCGAAGCUAACGCAUUAAGCGCCCCGCCUGGGGAGUACGGCCGCAAGGCUAAAACUCAAAUGAAUUGACGGGG